Plodia interpunctella (Indianmeal moth) is the source of this 419-nucleotide long non-coding RNA. RefSeq lists it as uncharacterized. The transcript is spliced from 4 exons. NCBI's taxonomy places the organism in Eukaryota, Metazoa, Arthropoda, Insecta, Lepidoptera, Pyralidae. The record is from RefSeq and is a predicted model, not a curated record.
CGAAAAGGUGUUCACUUCAUGUGAAUAGUUAGAAGUAAACCAAGGUUCGGGUUAUUCUCUCUACAAACAUGUUUAAAAAUAUUGUUGUGUUGUUUAUGGUCGUGAUGCUGGCUGGAUACAGCCACCAGGAAUCCAGUACAGCUGGCGCCAGCACUGGCGGAAAUGUAGGCGGCAGUGGAGGUGUCGGCGGAAGUUUCGGAGUCGGUUUGACCGCUGGGGCUCAAGGCAGCGCCGGUGCCUCUGCUGGCGGCCAGGCCGGAGCACAAACGAGCGCAGGCAACGGAAAGUAACCUCACUUCACUAACAUUUGAAGAAUUGUUUUCUUUUUCUCGUAUCUCUUGUAUCUUUCAAGCAUCGGCCCCAUAACUUGAUACUAAUAACGUUAACUAUAUAACAAAACAAUAAAUUAUACUAACGAA